AUUGAACGCUGGCGGCAUGCCUUACACAUGCAAGUCGAACGGUAACGGGCCGUCUGUUGCCGACGAGUGGCUGACGGGUGGGUAAUACAUCGGAACGUGCCCUAUCGUUGGGGAUAACGAGGCUAAAGCUUUGCUAAUACCGCAUACGAUCUACGCAUGAAAGCAGGGGACCGCGAGGCCUUGCGCGGACGGAGCGGCCGGUGGCAGAUUAGGUAGUUGGUGGGAUAAACGCUUACCAAGCCGACGAUCUGUAGCUGUUCUGCGAGGCUGAUCAGCCACACUGGGACUGAGACAACGACAAGACUACUAAGGGACGGCGCAGUGGGGAAUUUUGGACAACGGGGGGAAGCCUGAUACAACCAUGCCGAGUGUAGGAUGACGGCCUUCGGGUUGUAAACUGCUUUUGUACGGAACGAAAAGCCUUCUUUUAAUACAGGAGGGUAAUGACGGUAACGUAAGAAUAAGCACCGGCUAACUACGUG
RNAcentral lists this ribosomal RNA (482 nucleotides) under uncultured bacterium. RNAcentral describes it as "partial 16S ribosomal RNA". It matches the Rfam family "Bacterial small subunit ribosomal RNA", at positions 30 to 507 of the family's 1533-position model. The record is from RNAcentral.